GACGAACGCUGGCGGCGUGCUUAACACAUGCAAGUCGAACGGAAAGGCCCUGCUUUUGUGGGGUGCUCGAGUGGCGAACGGGUGAGUAACACGUGAGUAACCUGCCCUUGACUUUGGGAUAACUUCAGGAAACUGGGGCUAAUACCGGAUAGGAGCUCCUGCUGCAUGGUGGGGGUUGGAAAGUUUCGGCGGUUGGGGAUGGACUCGCGGCUUAUCAGCUUGUUGGUGGGGUAGUGGCUUACCAAGGCUUUGACGGGUAGCCGGCCUGAGAGGGUGACCGGCCAGAUUGGGACUGAGAUAGGGCCCAGACUCCUACGGGAGGCAGCAGUGGGGAAUAUUGCACAAUGGGCGGAAGCCUGAUGCAGCAACGCCGCGUGCGGGAUGACGGCCUUCGGGUUGUAAACCGCUUUCGCCUGUGACGAAGCGUGAGUGACGGUAAUGGGUAAAGAAGCACCGGCUAACUACGUG
This 468-nucleotide ribosomal RNA is filed under the name uncultured bacterium. Its description in RNAcentral is "partial 16S ribosomal RNA". It matches the Rfam family "Bacterial small subunit ribosomal RNA", at positions 28 to 507 of the family's 1533-position model. The record is from RNAcentral.